This 253-nucleotide ribosomal RNA is filed under the name uncultured bacterium. Its description in RNAcentral is "partial 16S ribosomal RNA". It matches the Rfam family "Bacterial small subunit ribosomal RNA", at positions 524 to 776 of the family's 1533-position model. The record is from RNAcentral.
UACAGAGGUCUCAAGCGUUGUUCGGAUUCAUUGGGCGUAAAGGGUGCGUAGGUGGCUCCGUAAGUCGGGUGUGAAAUUUCGGAGCUUAACUCCGAAACUGCAUUCGAUACUGCGGUGCUUGAGUACUGGAGAGGAGACUGGAAUUCAUGGUGUAGCAGUGAAAUGCGUAGAGAUCAUGAGGAAGACCAGUGGCGAAGGCGGGUCUCUGGACAGUUCCUGACACUGAGGCACGAAGGCCAGGGGAGCAAACGGG